RNAcentral lists this ribosomal RNA (519 nucleotides) under uncultured Paraglomus. Its description in RNAcentral is "SSU rRNA". It matches the Rfam family "Eukaryotic small subunit ribosomal RNA", at positions 569 to 1093 of the family's 1831-position model. The record is from RNAcentral. Lineage: Eukaryota; Fungi; Glomeromycota; Glomeromycetes; Paraglomerales; Paraglomeraceae.
CGCAGCCGCGGUAAUUCCAGCUCCAAUAGCGUAUAUUAAAGUUGUUGCAGUUAAAAAGCUCGUAGUUGAAUUUCAGGCCUGGCUGGACGGUCCGCCCUUCGGGUGAGUACUGUCUGUGGUCGGGUCCUACCUUCUGGCGAAGCGUCAUGGCCUUAACCGGCCGUGGCGGGGAACCAGGACUUUUACUGUGAAAAAAUUAGAGUGUUCAAAGCAGGCAAUCGCUUGGAUACAUUAGCAUGGAAUAAUGGAAUAGGACAAUGGUUCUAUUUGUUGGUUUCUAGGACCGUUGUAAUGAUUAAUAGGGAUAGUUGGGGGCAUUAGUAUUCAAUUGUCAGAGGUGAAAUUCUCGGAUUUAUUGAAGACUAACUACUGCGAAAGCAUUUGCCAAGGAUGUUUUCAUUAAUCAAGAACGAAAGUUAGGGGAUCGAAGACGAUCAGAUACCGUCGUAGUCUUAACCAUAAACUAUGCCGACUAGGAAUCGGGCGAUGUUGAAAAAUGACGCGCUCGGCACCUCAUGG